Molecule: ribosomal RNA, 507 nt
Filed under: uncultured Geobacter sp.
Lineage: Bacteria; Pseudomonadati; Thermodesulfobacteriota; Desulfuromonadia; Geobacterales; Geobacteraceae
Description: bacterial SSU rRNA
Rfam family: Bacterial small subunit ribosomal RNA
Source: RNAcentral
AGAGUUUGAUCCUGGCUCAGAACGAACGCUGGCGGCGUGCCUAACACAUGCAAGUCGAACGAGAAAGGAGCUUCGGCUCCGAGUAAAGUGGCGCACGGGUGAGUAACACGUAGGUAACCUGCCUCUAAGAUUGGGAUAACUUGUCGAAAGACGAGCUAAUACCAAAUAAGACCACGGUCUCCUCGGAGACAGAGGUCAAAGGUAGCCUCUAUUUAUAAGCUAUCGCUAAGAGAUGGGCCUGCGUACCAUUAGCUAGUUGGUGAGGUAACGGCUCACCAAGGCAAAGAUGGUUAGCUGGUCUGAGAGGAUGAUCAGCCACACUGGAACUGAGACACGGUCCAGACUCCUACGGGAGGCAGCAGUGGGGAAUAUUGCGCAAUGGGCGAAAGCCUGACGCAGCAACGCCGCGUGAGUGAUGAAGGCCUUCGGGUCGUAAAGCUCUGUCGGAGGGAACGAAUGCUCCUGAAGUUAACAGCUUCGGGAGGUGACGGUACCCUCAAAGAAGCC